Transfer RNA from Brassica oleracea var. oleracea, 74 nucleotides. It matches the Rfam family "tRNA". From Rfam's summary of the family: Transfer RNA (tRNA) molecules are approximately 80 nucleotides in length. Their secondary structure includes four short double-helical elements and three loops (D, anti-codon, and T loops). NCBI's taxonomy places the organism in Eukaryota, Viridiplantae, Streptophyta, Magnoliopsida, Brassicales, Brassicaceae. The record is from Rfam.
GGCCUAUUAGCUCAGUUGGUUAGAUCGUCAUGCUAAUAACGCGAAGGUCCCAGGUUCAAAACCUGCAUAGGCCA